CCUACGGGGGGCAGCAGUGAGGAAUAUUGGUCAAUGGACGAGAGUCUGAACCAGCCAAGUCGCGUGAAGGAUGACUGCCCUAUGGGUGGUAAACUUCUUUUAUAAAGGAAUAAAACGAGGCACGUGUGCCUUUUUGCAUGUACUUUAUGAAUAAGGAUCGGCUAACUCCGUGCCAGCAGCCGCGGUAAUACGGAGGAUCCGAGCGUUAUCCGGAUUUAUUGGGUUUAAAGGGAGCGUAGAUGGGUUGUUAAGUCAGUUGUGAAAGUUUGGGGCUCAACCGUAAAAUUGCAAUUGAUACUGGCAGUCUUGAGUACAGUAGAGGGAGGCAGAAUUCGUGGUGUAGCGGUGAAAUGCUUAGAGAUCACGAAGAACCCCGAUGGCGAAGGCAGCUCACUAAACUGAGACUGACAUUGAUGCUCGAAAGUGUGGGUAUCAAACAGGAUUAGAUACCCGAGUAGUC
RNAcentral lists this ribosomal RNA (460 nucleotides) under uncultured bacterium. RNAcentral's name for it is "partial 16S ribosomal RNA". It matches the Rfam family "Bacterial small subunit ribosomal RNA", at positions 338 to 795 of the family's 1533-position model. The record is from RNAcentral.